GGUAAUGCCGGAUGCUCCAGUUGAUCGCAUGGUCUUCUGGGAAAGCUUUCGCGGUAUGGGAUGGGGUCGCGUCCUAUCAGCUUGACGGCGGGGUAACGGCCCACCGUGGCUUCGACGGGUAGCCGGCCUGAGAGGGCGACCGGCCACAUUGGGACUGAGAUACGGCCCAGACUCCUACGGGAGGCAGCAGUGGGGAAUAUUGCACAAUGGGCGCAAGCCUGAUGCAGCGACGCCGCGUGAGGGAUGGAGGCCUUCGGGUUGUAAACCUCUUUUAUCGGGGAGCAAGCGAGAGUGAGUUUACCCGUUGAAUAAGCACCGGCUAACUACGUGCCAGCAGCCGCGGUAAUACGUAGGGUGCAAGCGUUAUCCGGAAUUAUUGGGCGUAAAGGGCUCGUAGGCGGUUCGUCGCGUCCGGUGUGAAAGUCCAUCGCUUAACGGUGGAUCCGCGCCGGGUACGGGCGGGCUUGAGUGCGGUAGGGGAGACUGGAAUUCCCGGUGUAACGGUGGAAUGUGUAGAUAUCGGAAA
This 526-nucleotide ribosomal RNA is filed under the name Bifidobacterium longum subsp. infantis. RNAcentral describes it as "bacterial SSU rRNA". It matches the Rfam family "Bacterial small subunit ribosomal RNA", at positions 162 to 703 of the family's 1533-position model. RNAcentral also lists the same sequence under 1 other name. The record is from RNAcentral. Lineage: Bacteria; Bacillati; Actinomycetota; Actinomycetes; Bifidobacteriales; Bifidobacteriaceae.